UACGUAGGGUGCAAGCGUUAAUCGGAAUUACUGGGCGUAAAGCGUGCGCAGGCGGUUCUAUAAGACAGAUGUGAAAUCCCCGGGCUCAACCUGGGAACUGCAUUUGUGACUGUAGAGCUGGAGUGCGGCAGAGGGGGAUGGAAUUCCGCGUGUAGCAGUGAAAUGCGUAGAUAUGCAGAGGAACACCGAUGGCGAAGGCAAUCCCCUGGGCCUGCACUGACGCUCAUGCACGAAAGCGUGGGGAGCAAACAGG
This 253-nucleotide ribosomal RNA is filed under the name uncultured bacterium. RNAcentral's name for it is "partial 16S ribosomal RNA". It matches the Rfam family "Bacterial small subunit ribosomal RNA", at positions 524 to 776 of the family's 1533-position model. The record is from RNAcentral.